GGGGAAUAUUGGACAAUGGGCGCAAGCCUGAUCCAGCCAUACCGCGUGGGUGAAGAAGGCCUUCGGGUUGUAAAGCCCUUUUGUUGGGAAAGAAAAGCAGUCGAUUAAUACUCGGUUGUUCUGACGGUACCCAAAGAAUAAGCACCGGCUAACUUCGUGCCAGCAGCCGCGGUAAUACGAAGGGUGCAAGCGUUACUCGGAAUUACUGGGCGUAAAGCGUGCGUAGGUGGUUGUUUAAGUCUGUUGUGAAAGCCCUGGGCUCAACCUGGGAAUUGCAGUGGAUACUGGGCGACUAGAGUGUGGUAGAGGGUAGUGGAAUUCCCGGUGUAGCAGUGAAAUGCGUAGAGAUCGGGAGGAACAUCCAUGGCGAAGGCAGCUACCUGGACCAACACUGACACUGAGGCACGAAAGCGUGGGGAGCAAACA
This 426-nucleotide ribosomal RNA is filed under the name uncultured Stenotrophomonas sp. RNAcentral's name for it is "bacterial SSU rRNA". It matches the Rfam family "Bacterial small subunit ribosomal RNA", at positions 356 to 774 of the family's 1533-position model. Lineage: Bacteria; Pseudomonadati; Pseudomonadota; Gammaproteobacteria; Lysobacterales; Lysobacteraceae. The record is from RNAcentral.